UACGUAGGGUGCAAGCGUUAUUCGGAAUUACUGGGCGUAAAGCGUGCGCAGGCGGUUUUGUAAGUCUGUCGUGAAAGCCCCGGGCUCAACCUGGGAAUUGCGAUGGAGACUGCAAGGCUUGAAUCUGGCAGAGGGGGGUAGAAUUCCACGUGUAGCAGUGAAAUGCGUAGAUAUGUGGAGGGAUACCGAUGGCGAAGGCAGCCCCCUGGGAUAACACUGACGCUCAUGCACGAAAGCGUGGGGAGCAAAAGGG
This 253-nucleotide ribosomal RNA is filed under the name uncultured bacterium. RNAcentral describes it as "partial 16S ribosomal RNA". It matches the Rfam family "Bacterial small subunit ribosomal RNA", at positions 524 to 776 of the family's 1533-position model. The record is from RNAcentral.